CCCUAGUAGCUUAGCAUUUUAAAGCACCGGUCUUGUAAUCCGGAAAUCGAAGGUUAAAAUCCUUCCUAGUGCCAGAAAAGAGAGAUUUCAACUCCCACCCC
This 101-nucleotide transfer RNA is filed under the name Ancistrus sp. TNHC 29347. RNAcentral's name for it is "partial tRNA-Pro". The stretch from base 1 to 73 matches the Rfam family "tRNA". Rfam says of the family: Transfer RNA (tRNA) molecules are approximately 80 nucleotides in length. Their secondary structure includes four short double-helical elements and three loops (D, anti-codon, and T loops). Further hydrogen bonds mediate the characteristic L-shaped molecular structure. tRNAs have two regions of fundamental functional importance: the anti-codon, which is responsible for specific mRNA codon recognition, and the 3' end, to which the tRNAs corresponding amino acid is attached (by aminoacyl-tRNA synthetases). tRNAs cope with the degeneracy of the genetic code in two manners: having more than one tRNA (with a specific anti-codon) for a particular amino acid; and 'wobble' base-pairing, i.e. permitting non-standard base-pairing at the 3rd anti-codon position. Lineage: Eukaryota; Metazoa; Chordata; Actinopteri; Siluriformes; Loricariidae. The record is from RNAcentral.